GGGGAAUAUUGGACAAUGGGGGAAACCCUGAUCCAGCGACGCCGCGUGAGUGAAGAAGUAUUUCGGUAUGUAAAGCUCUAUCAGCAGGGAAGAAAAUGACGGUACCUGACUAAGAAGCCCCGGCUAACUACGUGCCAGCAGCCGCGGUAAUACGUAGGGGGCAAGCGUUAUCCGGAUUUACUGGGUGUAAAGGGAGCGUAGACGGCACUGCAAGUCUGGAGUGAAAGCCCGGGGCUCAACCCCGGGACUGCUUUGGAAACUGUGGUGCUAGAGUGCAGGAGAGGUAAGUGGAAUUCCUAGUGUAGCGGUGAAAUGCGUAGAUAUUAGGAGGAACACCAGUGGCGAAGGCGGCUUACUGGACUGUAACUGACGUUGAGGCUCGAAAGCGUGGGGAGCAAACA
This 401-nucleotide ribosomal RNA is filed under the name uncultured Clostridium sp. Its description in RNAcentral is "bacterial SSU rRNA". It matches the Rfam family "Bacterial small subunit ribosomal RNA", at positions 356 to 774 of the family's 1533-position model. Lineage: Bacteria; Bacillati; Bacillota; Clostridia; Eubacteriales; Clostridiaceae. The record is from RNAcentral.